This 253-nucleotide ribosomal RNA is filed under the name uncultured bacterium. Its description in RNAcentral is "partial 16S ribosomal RNA". It matches the Rfam family "Bacterial small subunit ribosomal RNA", at positions 524 to 776 of the family's 1533-position model. The record is from RNAcentral.
UACGAAGGGGGCUAGCGUUGCUCGGAAUGACUGGGCGUAAAGGGCGCGUAGGCGGAUGGCACAGUCAGAUGUGAAAUUCCCGGGCUUAACCUGGGGGCUGCAUUUGAUACGUGUGAUCUAGAGUGAGGAAGAGGGUCGUGGAAUUCCCAGUGUAGAGGUGAAAUUCGUAGAUAUUGGGAAGAACACCGGUGGCGAAGGCGGCGACCUGGUCCUUGACUGACGCUGAGGCGCGAAAGCGUGGGGAGCAAACAGG